GCAGUGCCUGUUUACACGCAAACAACCUGCAAAGCAGUAGAAAACGCCAGUGCACACAAAGUUGACGCUGACGCCUCGAGUGGCCAUUUAGCCAGCCUUCGACAGCUACUCCAUUGUGAAGCUGCCAGCUCCAUUGAUAAACAAAAUCAAAAUCCAUGUGCAUGAAAGGACAUCUUCCAGGGCUAAAGAGGUGCUGUAAGCACCGCGGGCCUGUGAGGGAGCCCCACUGGUGGUGAAUUCACCCUGCGAAUAAUGACAGCUAGCGGGACGCUGCCGGCACCGGUGGCUCCCUGCCAAACUCCUGUCGGUCAAAGCCCCAGCUCCUGACCCCCUUUUUUUUUUGGCUGCGCGCUGCAGAAAGGGGUGGGGGGAGGACGCAUUGUUGGGGAUUUCGCAGUGGAGUGGUGCGACAAACGCGGGCCCCACUGUGCUUUCGGGGUUCCUUAAUCUGCCCGUCGCUCACGUGCGUCUCUUUCUCACAGCGUCGUCACAGGUGCUUGUGUGCCGACCCCGCACUUCUGUGUUGGGCUCCUGCAUCUCACUCCGGGGGGGAAAGUGUGUUUGAUUUUGUACCGAAAAAGGGCCCCCUUCUCAUACAGCCAGGUCCCCUGAAGACAGCAUUGGCAGCCAUUCAACAACCCCAAAAUUCCUCUCCCUGCUGGAUGUUGCAUAGGGACAAGACAUAGAGACUGUUUUCUUCUUUCUCUUUUUUUUAUACUCUACUCCCCUUGAUCUUCUUUUUCAAUUUUUUUUCUUUCUACUUUCCUCUUUCUGUUUCUUUGUCACAUCUUCUUUCUGGAGUAAGCGAGGACACAGCAAUGCGGCGGGGGUUUGGAGGGCAAGCUCCUUGGUGAGAUACAAUGGGCAAAGCUUCUUGAAUUACAAAUGGCUGGUCCUCAUGUUGGAUAAAGGGUUUUUUCAAUGGUCCAUUCAGGUGUUGAUCUUCACCUAAGUUACAGACUCUUGGAGCCGCGCUGAGGCCCUCAAGCUACGCCCUGCUUCUAACUCCAGCACUGUCCAAGCAAGGGGAGCAAUUACCCACGAAUGGCUUCAGCGUUUCACUUCCACUCUGUACACACUGGGGUUCAUUUUCUUUUCCUACCACGCAAAUGACAGUUUAAGAGUCUCAUCUAAAAUUAUAAACCUGGCAUUUUAUAAUUAUAAAUGGUGCCCCAGUG
Molecule: long non-coding RNA, 1178 nt
Organism: Clupea harengus (Atlantic herring)
Lineage: Eukaryota; Metazoa; Chordata; Actinopteri; Clupeiformes; Clupeidae
Source: Ensembl